This is a long non-coding RNA of Neofelis nebulosa (Clouded leopard), 3722 nucleotides long. RefSeq lists it as uncharacterized. NCBI's taxonomy places the organism in Eukaryota, Metazoa, Chordata, Mammalia, Carnivora, Felidae. The record is from RefSeq and is a predicted model, not a curated record. The transcript has 4 exons.
UUAUUGCCUCACAGCUCAGACCAGAAGGGUCUGACCAGAAACUCGCAGUGUUGGGGGGGCUCCCCCGGGGCCACGGGGGUACAGCCUUGUGGCUCGUGAGCUGACCAGCUGUGGUCUCCUGGGCUGUGGACACAUCACCCCUCCCGGCCUCCGUAUGAGGACCCAGGAGUGUUGGAUUCGGGCUCUUAUUACCCUGGGAUGACCUCAUCUCUACGUGUUUUAUUUUCAUCGACCCGAUUUCCAAAUAAGGUCACCUGCGUAGGCGCUAGGGGUCAGGACUUCCGCGCGUCUUUUAUGUUGAACACAACCCGUCACACGCCUCAUGGUGGUGAUUUCCGCAGCCCAAGUUAACACCCUAUUAAGCAUAUUUGUGGUGAGGAAUACGUCUCGGAGAACCUCGUCCUGCGGCUUGUAGACACCGGCACACGUUGGCAGACACUUGUCCCACGCUGGUCCCCGCUUUUAACCUGUUCUUCCGUGACUCGUUGAUCAGCAGUGAGCAGAGUCCUGGCCACCACCUGUGUGACAGAAUACUCUGGAAGCCGCGGACAGCUGUACAUACAGAAAUGGCAAGAUCAGCAAAUGAUGGUAACGAGCAUGGACAAGUCCCAUAAAUUUGAGUAUUUUUUAAAGGAGCACAUGCCAUAGACUUCGACUGAUGCCUUCACGAGGUAAUAAGCAGGAAGAUGAGGCUGAUUCAUCGUGAGUUAGAACAAGGUACUUACGUCGGCUCACGUAAAGAAUGCUGCCUUAGCGUUGCAAACACAACCUCCAACAGAGUGAUGUCGCACAGACCGGAGGGGCUGUGACCUCCGAGGACUCCUGUGCCUGCAGAGGUGACUGACCGCUCACUGGACAAAUACACCUCCUUUGCUGUGGGACAGGGGUCUCCGCACCCUCAUUUUUCUUCGUUUCAUUAGGUCUGGACGCUCUGUUCCCCCCUGAGGUGAGGACACCCUGCACGCGGCAAGGACACUGGAAAUGGCCAGUGUCUUCCCCAACAGCUCAUCUCUGAGACCUGCCUGCAUCCACUUACCGGACAGAAGUCACCUGGUGGUCGGGCUUCUCCGGACGGACGCCUCUCCCCACAGGCUCACACCUGUGGUCCGCGAGCAGCGUGUGCGGUAUCCCAGGGAAACAGGGCGGCCUUGCGGUCAUCUCUUUGUAAGGAUUAACCAGCAGCGUUAAGGAAAAUGAUUCUCUUUUUUCCCUUCAUUAAAUGGACAUUUCAUCUGUAUACCCAUCACCAUUGCUGCUGGGAUGGUCUCAACCACCCAUAACCAUGGAAACUUCUAACCAGGUGCCGUCAUGAGUCAAGUCCCCACUCUCUGCCGAGGACUUGGCCACACAGGACAGCAGCACUCCUGGCUGAAAGCCGGGAACGGGGCUGUGAUGGUCAGCUUCAGGGUCCACUCGGCUGUCCAGGCGCACCCGGAGUGUCACCGUGCAGGUCUCUUGUAGGUGUGGUCGGCAGCCUCGGAGUACAGCGGCGUUCCCUCCACGGUGUGGGGGGCCUCGCCCGAUUAGCGGAGGACUCCAGAGCAAAACCAGGUUUCUCAAAGAAGAAAUUCUGCCUGAUGAGUGAGGUGCUGGCCUGCCCUGCAGAUUCCAGCCUUGCAGCCCUUGGUCCGUCUCCCUCUGUCUCAGCGUGUGGAGGGACGAUUGGGGAUGCUAUCACAUUGUGGGUGGACACAUACCCCAUUGACUCGAGGUCUCUGGGGAACCUGGGCUAACACGGACCCCCUCGGGCCCGUGCAGAAGCUGUGAUGUCUGUGCUCUCGACGGCUGUAAUAGCUUCAGCUUUGUGUUUCCCUCAUCUGUAUAGUUACAAAGGUUACACUAAAUUACAAGACGUGAACGUAAGGUGAGCAGAUAUUAAUACACAAAAAACUCAGUGAUAUGGAGAAAUCCCUGAACGAUGCGUCUUUCUAAGCGGGGUAGGUAUGGAGCAUGGAUGUUCCAGAACUGCUAAGCCUGCCGAAUCUUGUAAGUGAAUGCUUCCCACGAAGAGCAUUCUAAACCCAAAGAAGUUUACCACUGAAUCUUGCAAAAAUUCAACCAGAAAAUAGAAAAGGAGGGAACACUCCCCCACCCGUUUUUUAUCGGAAGACGGACCCCAGCCAGAAGCCGGAGGCAGUAGCAGCAGAUUCUGGCAGGGUGGUGCAGAGCUCCGGUUUCCCGAGACGGACCAGGUCGCUCGCGUCAGAUUGGCUCUUAUGCAGGAGCACCUCUGGCGAGGACUGGAGGACAGAGACAUCCUAGCUGUGCCUGCUGCCAGCUCUGCACAGCCCUGCCUUUGGGAAGAGGCCAGUGUCCCUUCCAGUCGGUCGGCCUUCUGGGGCGGAAGGGCUCUCCGGGGAGGUCUCUGCGGCUGGAGGAAAUCCGGAGGUGACAUUUUAUUCAGCUCUGUGUUGCCAAAGGCCGGUAUGGAGCGGAUGACCAUGGCUUAGGCCGCGGGGCACCCGCACCCGUGCUGUGGACGAGGGCGGGUCGGGCCCUCCAGCCUCUUUCGUGCAGGAGAGCUGCUUCGGGCCCCCACGCAGACCUGUGCACAGGUCCACAGCCACACGUCCACGGGAGACCAAAGGUGGGAACAGCCGGCGUGUCCAUACAAUCACCUGUACGACGAAAUAUUGUCAGACACAAAACGAGUGAGGCCCUCAUACUUGCUACAAUGUGGAUGGACCUUGAAACCAGCCAGAAAAGGACAAAAAUGGUGGGAUUUCACUUAUUUGAGGUGUCUAGAACAGGCAAACCCACCAGGGGCUCGUGUGUGAAGAUACUAGCAUCCUUGCAGGGGACGGAAUCGUUGUAGGGUCACACUGUGGUUAUUGUUCCGUAGCUGUGAAUGUUCCAGAAACCCCACUCAACCAUACACUGUAAAUGGGCGAGUUUUACGGCAAGUGAAUUAUCUCGGCAAAGCCGGUAAACAUAUCAGCAACCAUAAUCAGUGAUACAUAUCAAACACGGAGUAUUAUAGCCAAGCAAAGUUUAUUUCAGGAACAAAGAGUUGGUUUAACAUUAAAAAACUAGUCAAUUAAAUUUGCCACAUUAACACAUUAAAAGAAAUAAUCAAAUGAUCACCUUAUUCGAUUAAAAAAAGCCUUGGAUAUAGUGAAUGUCCAUUCACGACAAAAAUUCUCAGCAAACCAAGAAUAGAAAGGUUCUACCUUAACUAUAGGAAGGGAUCCACCCAAACCUGCCUUACUGCAAACAUUGACUUAAUAGCAAAGGCGGGACGUGUUCUCUUUGAGUGUGGGGUGCGGCGUGAACGUGGCUGUGAGCCACGGCUCGGGCAAGGGAUGGUGUGACGCCCCGAGAGUCGCAGGUCAGCCACAUGUGCCCCAUCCACGUGGCCGAACUGUCCCCGGGCACGUCCAUCGUCCACCCUCGAGGCCUGCGUGCCCAGAGCCUGCGACCUCCUGCUCUGCGCUGCCGGAAGCAAACCCCCAGGUAUUAGGCCUGCCCGCCCCCCACCGCAGGCACAAGGCAGAAGAGCCACCUGCCAAGUCCCUGAGAAGGCCCUUCACCUCACGCGCCGCCGAACAGUCCUGCGACUCCACUGGAGAGAGAUCCGGACGCUGGUGGUGGUGGAGCUGAGCCUCCCACCUCUUGAUGACCACACCCCCUCAGGGCCCCUGCUUCAUGCUCUGAGAACAGGUGGCAGCCUUCCCAGGGGUUCGUGAGGGGUGUCCUGUCCUUGUGCGUGUGUGCAUGUGUGU